UAGGGAAUCUUCGGCAAUGGACGGAAGUCUGACCGAGCAACGCCGCGUGAGUGAAGAAGGUUUUCGGAUCGUAAAGCUCUGUUGUAAGAGAAGAAUGAGUGUGAGAGUGGAAAGUUCACACUGUGACGGUAUCUUACCAGAAAGGGACGGCUAACUACGUGCCAGCAGCCGCGGUAAUACGUAGGUCCCGAGCGUUGUCCGGAUUUAUUGGGCGUAAAGCGAGCGCAGGCGGUUAGAUAAGUCUGAAGUUAAAGGCUGUGGCUUAACCAUAGUAGGCUUUGGAAACUGUUUAACUUGAGUGCAAGAGGGGAGAGUGGAAUUCCAUGUGUGGCGGUGAAAUGCGUAGAUAUAUGGAGGAACACCGGUGGCGAAAGCGGCUCUCUGGCUUGUAACUGACGCUGAGGCUCGAAAGCGUGGGGAGCAAACAGGAUUAGAUACCCUGGUAGUCCACGCUGUAAACGAUGAGUGCUAGGUGUUAGACCCUUUCCGGGGUUUAGUGCCGUAGCUAACGCAUUAAGCACUCCGCCUGGGGAGUACGACCGCAAGGUUG
RNAcentral lists this ribosomal RNA (550 nucleotides) under uncultured bacterium. RNAcentral's name for it is "bacterial SSU rRNA". It matches the Rfam family "Bacterial small subunit ribosomal RNA", at positions 355 to 896 of the family's 1533-position model. The record is from RNAcentral.